AUGGAGGCGGAGAAGCCGGCCGGCCGGCGGCAGGUGCUGCAUCUCCUCUUAAGUCAGCCAAGGAGGAUAGGCCGCCAGAUCGAGGGCCAUGGGUGGAAGAAGUACACCUUCCUCGAAGUGUACUUCUGCGGCGAGCACAUGAAGGAGAAGAGGGUAUGCUCGCUGCUGCUCCCCGGCAGGCACGCCGACGUGAAGCCGUGGAAGGAACACUACGAGUUUCAGGUGGACGGUGGAUGGCGGCACCUGUGCCUCCGCCUCGAGGCCGUGCGCGAGGACUGCGACGUCGACGAGGACACGGGCCACGUGAAGGUGCUCCGCACGGACGAGCCGCACACCUCCGGCUGCUCCGCGGCCAUCGGGGCGGCGCAGGUGCGACUCCUGGACGCGCUGGUGCUGGGCGACGACGACGGCGACGACGAGGCGGUCGCGGAGAAGAAGAGUCGCCUGAGUCGCCUCGAGCUCCAGAAGAAUAAUGCUGAUCUGAAAAUUAUUCCGGCCAAGGGGACGCUGGUGUUCUACGAGAGGGUCGAGCUUCAGGGCUGGCGUCCCCCGCCCCCGGGGCCGGGCCGAAAGCCGACCAAUGUUGUUUGCGGCACCGUGGACGUGGCCCUGUACGUGACCGAGGGCGGCGCCGGCUCUGGCCGAUGA
RNAcentral lists this ribosomal RNA (648 nucleotides) under Triticum aestivum (bread wheat). RNAcentral's name for it is "partial small subunit ribosomal RNA". Lineage: Eukaryota; Viridiplantae; Streptophyta; Magnoliopsida; Poales; Poaceae. The record is from RNAcentral.